GUCGAUAAUGUUGUGUUUAGUUGUAGCAGGUCGAUAAUGUUGUGUUUAGUUGUAGCAGGUUGUAAUGUUGUGUUUAGUUGUAGCAGGUCGAUAAUGUUGUGUUUAGUUGUAGCAGGUCGAUAAUGUUGUGUUUAGUUGUACAGGUUGAUAAUGUUGUAGCAGGUUGAUAAUGUUGUAUUUAGUUGUAGCAGGUUGGUAAUGUUGUGUUGAGUUGUAGCAGGUUGGUAAUGUUGUGUUUAGUUGUAUAGGUUGAUAAUGUUGUGUUUAGUUGUACAGGUUGAUAAUGUUGUGUUUAGUUGUAGCAGGUUGGUAAUGUUGUAGCAGGUUGGUAAUGUUGUGUUUAGUUGUAUAGGUUGAUAAUGUUGUGUUUACUUGUAGCAGGUUGGUAAUGUUGUAGCAGGUUGGUAAUGUUGUGUUUAGUUGUAGCAG
RNAcentral lists this long non-coding RNA (429 nucleotides) under Salmo salar (Atlantic salmon). RNAcentral describes it as "lncRNA (ENSSSAG00000115644.1)". The record is from RNAcentral. Lineage: Eukaryota; Metazoa; Chordata; Actinopteri; Salmoniformes; Salmonidae.